AUUGAACGCUGGCGGCAGGCUUAACACAUGCAAGUCGAGCGGGGUGAUGGUGCUUGCACUAUCACUUAGCGGCGGACGGGUGAGUAAUGCUUAGGAAUCUGCCUAUUAGUGGGGGACAACAUCUCGAAAGGGAUGCUAAUACCGCAUACGUCCUACGGGAGAAAGCAGGGGAUCACUUGUGACCUUGCGCUAAUAGAUGAGCCUAAGUCGGAUUAGCUAGUUGGUGGGGUAAAGGCCUACCAAGGCGACGAUCUGUAGCGGGUCUGAGAGGAUGAGCCGCCACACUGGGAAUGAGACACGGCCCAGGCUCCUACGGGAGGCAGCAGUGGUGAAUAUUGGACAAUGGGGGGAACCCUGAUCCAGCCAUGCCGCGUGUGUGAAGAAGGCCUUAUGGUUGUAAAGCACUUUAAGCGAGGAGGAGGCUCUUUUGGUUAAUACCCAAGAUGAGUGGACGUUACUCGCAGAAUAAGCACCGGCUAACUCUGUGCCAGCCGCCGCCGUAA
This 503-nucleotide ribosomal RNA is filed under the name uncultured bacterium. RNAcentral's name for it is "partial 16S ribosomal RNA". It matches the Rfam family "Bacterial small subunit ribosomal RNA", at positions 30 to 523 of the family's 1533-position model. The record is from RNAcentral.